CCUACGGGUGGCAGCAGUGAGGAAUAUUGGUCAAUGGCCGGAAGGCUGAACCAGCCAAGCCGCGUGAAGGACGAAGGUGCUAUGCAUUGUAAACUUCUUUUGUCAAGGGAUAAAAUCAGGCUCGAGAGCCUGAUUGUGGGUACUUGAAGAAAAAGCAUCGGCUAACUCCGUGCCAGCAGCCGCGGUAAUACGGAGGAUCCGGGCGUUAUCCGGAUUUAUUGGGUUUAAAGGGAGGGUAGGCGGGCUGUUAAGGGUGCCGUAAAAGCCCGGGGAUCAACCCUGGCCAAGCGGUGGAAACUGGAUGGCUUGAGAGGGCGAGAGGUAUGCGGAAUGCGUGGUGUAGCGGUGAAAUGCUUAGAUAUUGCGAAGAACUCCGAUUGCGAAGGCAGCAUACGGGCGGCGUACUGACGCUGAGGCUCGAAGGCGUGGGUAUCGAACAGGAUUAGAUACCCUUGUAGUC
RNAcentral lists this ribosomal RNA (460 nucleotides) under uncultured bacterium. Its description in RNAcentral is "partial 16S ribosomal RNA". It matches the Rfam family "Bacterial small subunit ribosomal RNA", at positions 338 to 795 of the family's 1533-position model. The record is from RNAcentral.